ACCGCCUUAUCUUCUCGAGAACAGACUCAUGCCUCUCCCCUUCUCAUUCCUCAAUUUCAUUCGUGCCCUAAUUUCUACCCCCAACGUCCGUGCCGUCUGUAACUCGCCGCGCCACCUCUGGCGCCUGAAAAUUAGUGAGGCCGGCGUUCGGCGUUGUCCCUCUGUUUCUGGGAGCAAAGCUGAAGCCGCGCCUAUUUCCCUCUUCGCAAGCUAGCGCCGCUGAGGGGACCGGCGGAUCGCCGCCGUCAUCUUCACUGAGCCACCAUCGGUACCUCCCUCUCCCUUCAAUUCGUGUCUCUCUAACUCUCUGAUUUCCCUCUGUUCCUUUCUCGCUUCUAAAUUUUCACAUCAAAUUUCAGUAAGCAAAACUGAGCCCUAGCCCCAUUUCUGGAAUCGCCGCCGUCGCGGCCCUUCUCCGGCGCGAUGGAUCGCCGUUGGACAUGUGAAUCGGCGAGAGUCGCCGUCAGCAUCGGGUCUCCCGACCUUAGGUGUCUUGCUGCCUUCGCCCUUGAGUUCCAGCUAGCGGAUGCUUCCGUCGAUGCACUCUGCCCAUCGGAACAGAACUCGUUCUGCUUGGUGUCGCCCUUAGGCGCAGCCAUGGCGCUCUGCCCCAACCCCCAGAUUGAACGGCAAUAGGCCACCAAGGAUACAACUCAACAGGUUACUAGCAUUUUCUAAGUUCAUUCUAUCUUAUGAAAUCUUGGUUUUCCAUACUCCGAUUAUGCUUAUGCUGGAGAUUACACUAGGCAUGAUUUUGCUAUGUGUCGUAAGAAAUUCUCAUUGUAUUUGCCUUGUGUGAAAGUCAUGGGUUGUUGAUUCAUAUGGAUAAAAGAUUAUACCAUUCGUCUCCUACUAUGCUUUCAAUAAACUGAUCAUUGCUUCAGGAAAUGAGGCGUGUAAACAAAAGAAGAAAAGACAUACUGAUGUAAAAAAUACCUUGAAUGUUUGUUCUUUUGGCUGUCUGUGCUGCUAUGUUUCAAUAAGAAAGAGCUGAAAAUGAAAUUCCAUAUUUUGUUUAACAAUUGCAGACUGAAACUCAAGGAGAAAAUGGUGAAAGAGUUGGCCAUUCUUACCUUUCUGAGUCUGCCAGAAGCUGAAUCAAAAUUCUUUCCCUUUGAGAGUUGGUACACGAAGGAAGAUAUGAAGGAGAAUUUGUUGACUGAAAUAGAAGAAAGGGUUGUUGGCUAAUAGUAUAAAGUGUGGAGUUGGUGCUGAUACUUGAGUGUUUGACAAGAUGAAGCAUGCGUAGGUUAUAGAUGAAUGACCCUUAGCAGCAUGGCUUUGAGCUGAAAAGGGGCUGUAGAGUUGAAGAAAAUGAGUUGAUGUUUGUACUUGCAUACUUUCUAUUGCUGAUUUUGGGCUUUGCGUGUAUGUAGCAGAUAGAGUAGGAAUUGAUAUAAAGUGUAGGAAAGUUGUGAGGUGACAAUUAAAAUCCCUCCGUCUUGUAUCAUUUGCGCGUUUGUGAUACUAAUUCCGAGUUUUGCUAAUUGAUCGCGUGUUCUCGUAAAAUAAAUCUAAAUUAAAUCCGUAGAUUUAAUUUGAUUCACAAGCCAAAAUAAAACCACUACUUAAGUAAUCAUAGUAAAUAAAAAAAAAACAAUACUUUUAUUAAAAAGAAUAAAUAACAUGACUUUGUUAAGUCAGUUAUAAAUUAAAAAUAUAAAUUAUUGAUUGGCUCAAUAAUUCAUAAUGAGGUUUUUCUCAUGCGAAGUUAGUAUGUACAAUCGAAUCAAAAACUCUGUAUCUCGCAUAAACAUCUAAUUCAAAAUCUUGAGUUGAAUUAUCUAAUGAUAAUCACUGGAUUAUCAUAGCUAAAGAUGCAAUGAUAUAAUUAUUGUAAUAGUGGUCUUUACUUAAUAAAUAAAAAUAGCGGGUUGCUACAUACUACCCCUCUUAACAAAAAUUUCGUCCCGAAAUUUGCAUACUCUCAGAUUCUUAGGCUAGCCAAUUCGUUUUCUUAGCUUCUACACUUCUCAAUUACAAAUGGCCUCAGGUUUCUUGACCUCAGUCGGUUUACUCGUUCAACCAAACGUAGGUGAACUCCGUCUUAAAUGUUCUUCGACUCUCCUAGUUGGGGGUGGAGGGGGUGGGUUAGGUUCUUGGUCGGUUUGUGGUUCUCCUGAUAUCGCAUUAUGGUUUUCACGAUUGUUAAUGCUUCUCUUGGCGGAUGUCUGAUUGCCAUAAAAUGCAUCAAAUGGGUUUACUCUAACAUAAUCUGAUACAACCUCAAAGGGCUGCCUUACGAUAAUCUUUAAAUGAUUCAUUAUAUACCCCAUGCUUGUGCAUAAAUCAUAAAAGUUCUCAUCUUACUUAGAUACAUAGCAUACCAAGCCAACUCAAAUAAGCAUCUUCUGAUUGAAAAGGUUGAUGAGAACUCACUAUAACAAUUGGGUUGUAAAGGUUCUAAUCCUGCAUGACAACUUGUAUAAAGGGGGUUGCUACUAAUUAGCCAGAAGGUUAAAAUAACAUGUCCAACGAAUCGAAACAAAAAGAUCAAAUGGUCGAAACUAACCGGCCCUUGAGACAUGAAGGUUUGAAAACCCAGAAUAACGACUAUUGAUAUAUAUAUUUACGUGGGCUAUCAGGCCCAACACAAUUCCUUCUCUUUCACUUGGCAACACAAUCCCGUACCAGGAAAUUCUUAACUCGGUAUGACUAUAAGUAAGCUCCAAGCUUAGGGCAUCACUUAUAUCCUUAUGCUUUCUAAGUUCCAUUGUUCAAUCAUAUUAUUAUGAUCAAAAUCCUUCAUAGCAUAACUAGGGCGUCAUUAUGAAAUUCUGAAAAAAUCAUAUCUUUCGAAUAUGAUAACUUCUGUGUCAACAACGUGAAAAUAAUGCCAACAACCUUAGAGUUAAUACUUAAAAGGCAUUUCAUUCCUAACUCGGUCAUAGCGUCAUAUCUCAAUUAACAUCAUCGGGGUUGUAAGCUUCAACGGUUCUUAGCAUCUCAAACCCAUAAGUAGCGUAAAAAUUUUCUAACCCUAUAAACAUCAUCAUAUCUCCACAUCUUGUUGCAUCUCCAUCCUUGGCGUUCUCUUGUAUCAUCUAUCGUUGUCUUGCUUUUCUUUCUCCUUUGUUCUUCACUUACAACUAUAGUAAAAUAUAGAUGGACUUCUUUCUAUGUUUGCUUCUAUGUUCUGUCAUAGAGGUGAUCAUAUAGCUUAGUCGCUCUAAGUUCUUAGGGAUUCAUAUCAUAGUCAUAGUUAAUCGUGUUUGUGUCAGUCAUUCCAUAGAAUAAUAGUGUAAAUUAACCAUCGAUAGUUUCACGUUCUCAUAUUGCUUUCAUAUCGCGUUAUUUCCCACUAUUCAUUCAUGUAAAAAGAUAUUCAAGAAUUCAAACAUCAAUUUAAAACAUGAAAGCGCUUACCAUUCUGCUUCGUUGAGAGUGAUGCGAUGAAGUGCUGAGCUUUGUCGACUAAACUCUAGAUAUUUUAGUGACUCAGUCUAGGCUUAACUUAAAGAAACUCUUAGGCUCAGAGCAAACGAACUGCUCUGAUACCAUUCUGUCACGACCGGCCUUAACUAAAGAUAACUAAUCCGGGAAAUCGUGACUAGGGAAGGGAUUUAAGAAGCGGGGUUAGAAAGGGCACAUUUGACUCAUUAAACUCGAUUAUAGACAUUAUAUCUAGCAUUAAUUUUGAAAUAAAAUUUAAGACAUUGAAGAUUGACGCAUAUAUUAAAAAAAAAAUCUCGAUGAACCCGAGUAAGCUUAAUAUUUCUUUGAAGAGUAAUUGCAUAUAUAGACUUGCUAAAACAUAAUCAGUGUUUGCAGCGGAAGCAACUGAGAUACAUGUAUGCAGACAAUAUCCUUUCUGAGCCUAUUAGUUCGACAAAAGCUCCACUCAGCAACACUUCAUCGUCAUCACAGCUCAACCUGCACAUUAAAACAUAUGCAGGGCUAAGUACAAAAGUACUUAGUGGGCUUGCCAAAACUAUAAUAUAAGCUUAACAUUUUAUAUACAAACCAAGCAUCUAAGAAAAAGCUUCUUUCAAAUCCUUCUUAAUAAAUUUCAUAAUCCAUAAUAGCGUGUGCAUUCUUCAUCAUAAUCAUUCAAAGCAUCGUGUCGUGAGGAAGGCCUUCCUCAACAACACAGGCAUCGCGCCGUGAGGGAGGCCUCCCUCAGCGGACACGGCAUCGUACUGUUGAGGGAGGCCUCCCCCAACAGACGCUAGCAUCGUCCGUUGAGGGAGGCCUCCCUCAACGGACGUUUGACCGGCCAACCCUCUCAUUGACUCACGGUCGCGUUGUUACUAAAUCUGCAGAAGCUAUCCGCUCAGGAUUCAACUCUUACAUCAUCACUGGCAUAAUAAAAUAAAGCAUUCAGUAACAAAGCAUAAUAAUACACAGGCGUACAAAGCGUAAGACUAAAGCGUAGAACAUUAGCGUAAAUAAUAUAGCGUAAUACUUGGUAACAAGCGUAAAUUAAAAGCGUAAAAUUUACGAAACAAAGCAUAACCGAUUAAGCAUAAAAGGUAAUUAAUUUAAGAAUAAAAUAAUCAUUUAAGCAUAAUAGGGCAUAACUCAAUUAAGCGUAAUAAAGUAUAUUUUUUUUUAAGCAUAAACUUUAUAGUUCUAUAGCAUUUUAUUUUGCUAAGAAAUGCCCACCUGAUAGCAAAGAUUUGUAAGGUGUUGACUCCUUGAUAGCUCUCUCGCGCUUGACCUUAUUCGAAUAUAAAUAAAGCAUUGGCCAGAAAUCUCAUAAUUGAGAAUGGUAAUUAACUAUGCAUGACUCAUUUUCGCUAUAAAAUCCAAACUAUGGAUUAAGCUCGUCUUAUGAAUGGAUAUUAAUCUUAAUUAAUCCACUCAUCUUGGUUGCUAACCCUUACUAAUUAAUAAUCCCUUCUAAUUAAUCCAUAAUUAGAAAACUAAAUAAUUAAUAGAUUAAUCUAGACUAGUCUUUAAUCGGCUAAUAAAUAAUAAGGCAGCCUAAGAUUAAUUGGGAGCAACAUAAGGCAACCCAAUAAAAGAAAUUGGACCCAAUCAAAUAACCAUCGCAAUUCAUUCUCUUAAAAUAUGCCUGGGCUCCCAUUAAGAAAAGGAAUCAGCCUAUCUGAUUAACUCUGGCCCAGCUGCUUAGCCUCUAAUAAAAUCGGCCCAAGAAAUAGCCCAAACUAAUUUCCCUUUAUCCUCCAAAUCGUGGCUGCAAUUCUCUCUCUCUCCUCUCUCGCAAUCACGCUCGCGGCAAACGCCGCGCCUUCCUCUUAGCAAUAUCUGCCGCACUGUUAGUCCAGAGGCUCAUCUGAAAUCCGGCACCCCUCACCUUGCAUCUCAAUCCUCAUGACCCUUCAAGAUGAUAAAUACGACCUACCCAACUCAGCGAGGAGCCAAGUCGAGCCCGAGCUAUUCUUCAAAAUCACCCCGUCGCCCAGUAACUUUCCGGCGAACGCAGCUUUUCUCCACCGCCUUAUCUUCUCGAAACAGACUCACCUCUCCCCUUACUCUAUUCCUCAAUUUCAUUCGUGCCCUAAUUUCUCCCCAACGUCCGUGCCGUCUGUAACUCGCCGCGCCACCUCUGGCGCCUGAAAAUUAGUGAGGCCGGCGUUCGACGUUGUCCCUCUGUUUCUGGGAGCAAAGCUGAAGCGCGCCUAUUUCCCUCUUCGCAAGCUAGCGCUGAGGGGACCGGCGGAUCGCCGCCGUCAACUUCACUGAGCCACCAUCGGUACCUCAAAUUUCAGUAAGCAAAACUGAGCCCUAGCCCCAUUUCUGGAAUCGCCGCCGUCGCGGCCCUUCUCCGGCGCGAUGGAUCGCCGUUGGACAUGUGAAUCGGCGAGAGUC
This 5775-nucleotide long non-coding RNA is filed under the name Salvia miltiorrhiza (redroot sage). Its description in RNAcentral is "long non-coding RNA (SMIL_LNC005351)". Lineage: Eukaryota; Viridiplantae; Streptophyta; Magnoliopsida; Lamiales; Lamiaceae. The record is from RNAcentral.